AUGAAUUUGGUGCUUGCACCAGAUGAAACUAGAUACAAGCGAGCGGCGGACGGGUGAGUAACACGUGGGUAACCUGCCCAAGAGACUGGGAUAACACCUGGAAACAGAUGCUAAUACCGGAUAACAACACUAGACGCAUGUCUAGAGUUUAAAAGAUGGUUCUGCUAUCACUCUUGGAUGGACCUGCGGUGCAUUAGCUAGUUGGUAAGGUAACGGCUUACCAAGGCAAUGAUGCAUAGCCGAGUUGAGAGACUGAUCGGCCACAUUGGGACUGAGACACGGCCCAAACUCCUACGGGAGGCAGCAGUAGGGAAUCUUCCACAAUGGACGCAAGUCUGAUGGAGCAACGCCGCGUGAGUGAAGAAGGGUUUCGGCUCGUAAAGCUCUGUUGGUAGUGAA
RNAcentral lists this ribosomal RNA (399 nucleotides) under Lactobacillus gasseri. Its description in RNAcentral is "bacterial SSU rRNA". It matches the Rfam family "Bacterial small subunit ribosomal RNA", at positions 66 to 446 of the family's 1533-position model. The record is from RNAcentral. Lineage: Bacteria; Bacillati; Bacillota; Bacilli; Lactobacillales; Lactobacillaceae.